This 203-nucleotide ribosomal RNA is filed under the name Escherichia coli IS1. RNAcentral's name for it is "Large Subunit Ribosomal RNA; lsuRNA; LSU rRNA". It matches the Rfam family "Bacterial large subunit ribosomal RNA", at positions 2748 to 2925 of the family's 2925-position model. Lineage: Bacteria; Pseudomonadati; Pseudomonadota; Gammaproteobacteria; Enterobacterales; Enterobacteriaceae. The record is from RNAcentral.
GCUAAAUGCGGAAGAGAUAAGUGCUGAAAGCAUCUAAGCACGAAACUUGCCCCGAGAUGAGUUCUCCCUGACUCCCUGAGAGUCCUGAAGGAACGUUGAAGACGACGACGUUGAUAGGCCGGGUGUGUAAGCGCAGCGAUGCGUUGAGCUAACCGGUACUAAUGAACCGUGAGGCUUAACCUUACAACGCCGAAGGUGUUUUG